This 497-nucleotide ribosomal RNA is filed under the name uncultured bacterium. Its description in RNAcentral is "partial 16S ribosomal RNA". It matches the Rfam family "Bacterial small subunit ribosomal RNA", at positions 28 to 507 of the family's 1533-position model. The record is from RNAcentral.
GAUGAACGCUGGCGGCGUGCCUAAUACAUGCAAGUCGAGCGAACAGACGAGGAGCUUGCUCCUCUGACGUUAGCGGCGGACGGGUGAGUAACACGUGGAUAACCUACCUAUAAGACUGGGAUAACUUCGGGAAACCGGAGCUAAUACCGGAUAAUAUAUUGAACCGCAUGGUUCAAUAGUGAAAGACGGUUUUGCUGGCACUUAUAGAUGGAUCCGCGCCGCAUUAGCUAGUUGGUAAGGUAACGGCUUACCAAGGCAACGAUGCGUAGCCGACCUGAGAGGGUGAUCGGCCACCCGGGAACUGGGACACGGUCCAGGCUCCUACGGGAGGGCGCAGUAGGGAAUCUUCCGCAAUGGGCGAAAGCCUGACGGAGCGACGCCGCGUGAGUGAUGAAGGUCUUCGGAUCGUAAAACUCUGUUAUUAGGGAAGAACAAAUGUGUAAGUAACUAUGCACGUCUUGACGGUACCUAAUCAGAAAGCCCCGGCUAACUACGUG